GGGGACUGUGAACUGCUAGCAUUUACUUGAUGUUGAUAUUCCACGUGGAUAACUGUGGUAAUUCUGGAGCUAAUACAUGCACCAAAGCUCCGAUCUCAUGACGAGCGCAUCUAUGAGACCAAAAACCAAUCGAGAAUAUUCGCCUCAAAACGAACGCCUCGUAAAUUUGGUGACUCUAAAUAGCUUAGCUGAUCGCAUGGUCUCGCACCGGCAACGUAUCUUUCAGGUGUCUGCCUUAUCAACUUUCGAUGGUAGUUUAUAUGCCUACCAGGGUUGUAACGGGUAACGGAAAAUAAGGGUUCGACUCCGGAGAGGGAGCCUGAGAAACGGCUACCACAUCCAAGGAAGGCGGCAGGCGCGCAAAUUACCCACUCUCAGCACGAGGAGGUAGUGACGAAAAAUAACGAGACCGUUCUCUUCGAGGCCGGUUAUCGGAAUGAGUACAAUUUAAAGCCGUUAACGAGGAUCUAUGAGAGGGCAAGUCUGGUGCCCGCAGCCGCGGUAAUUCCCGCUCUCAAAGUGUAUAUCGUCAUUGCUGCGGUUAAAAAGCUCGUAGUUGGAUUUAAGCUCGAUGACUCGGUCCAUCCAUAGGAUGAGAACUGAGCUCAUCGGCUAUCAUCGGGCUGGUUUUUGUCUAGGUGGCUUUAAACGGUUGGCCUAGGCCGGGCUAGCAAGUUUACUUUUGAAAAAAAUUAGAGUGCUCAACCGCGGGCUUUAAUGCCCGAAAAAUCGUGCAUGGUAUAUGGCCUAGGAUUUCCGGUUCUAUUUUGUUGGUUUUUUUAACCCAAAAUAAUGGUUAAGAAGGGACAGACCGGGGGCCUUCCUAUCCCCUCCUGAGAAGUUUCAAUUUUUGGAACCGGAGCCAGGACGCCCCGACCGCCAACGCAUAUGACUAGAAAUGGUCUUUCUUAAUCAACAACAAAAAUCGAAGGUCGAAGCGAUCAGAUACCCGCCCCUAGUCUGACCGUAAACAAUACCACCAACGUCCCGCCUGUCGUAAAUAAGACAGACGGCCCUGCCCGAAACUAAAGAAUUCCGGUCCGGCGAGCUACGUAGCCAGCUGAACUAAUGAAUGACCGAGAACGACAGAGUGAUCUGCGCUGAUCGAUCUACUAGCAACUCACUAGACUGAUACUGAUGACAGUCGAACGCGCUCAUCUGGCUUUGACUAGCGCAACUGUGUCAUUAAUCGUGAUGCGAUGAUCAG
RNAcentral lists this ribosomal RNA (1207 nucleotides) under Paracamallanus sp. GC-2009. RNAcentral's name for it is "SSU rRNA". The stretch from base 1 to 1043 matches the Rfam family "Eukaryotic small subunit ribosomal RNA", at positions 82 to 1116 of the family's 1831-position model. The record is from RNAcentral. Lineage: Eukaryota; Metazoa; Nematoda; Chromadorea; Rhabditida; Camallanidae.